ACAAUCCAGCCCAUGCCAGGUGCCCGCCACAGGACUAACUGAGGGGCGGGUUAAAUGGGAAGUGUGGUGAGAUACCACCGCUGCCCCCGCAACGGUAUACAGUCAAUGACUGUAAGCCCGAUACCUGCCUGGACUUUGCACCAAUG
RNAcentral lists this non-coding RNA (146 nucleotides) under marine actinobacterium K362. Lineage: Bacteria; Bacillati; Actinomycetota; Actinomycetes. RNAcentral also lists the same sequence under 1 other name. The record is from RNAcentral.